CGAUUUUGCAAUGAGUAAUGUUAAGUAAACUAAAUUUACAAAUUCAAUAAUGUGUAACAAUAAGAAAUAAGAACGUGAAUUAUCAACUUUCAUGCGUUUUGUUUACUAAAUUUGUUCCGUAGCAUUUACCCUUUCGUGAUACUUGGGUUACUCGCACGCACCUAUGUCGCCACGCUUGCUUCGUCACCGUUUUCCCGACCUUCUCUUCCUUCCGCGUCUUUUCUUCUCAGUCACAGCGGCCAAGUAAUCAAGUUCGCGUCGAGCUCCCCCGAUAUAUCGUGCAUAGUCGUGUAUUUAAGAAGGCGCUGGGGUUUCUUGGCCGCGUUGCACACCAGGUGUUUGUUAAAACAUCUGAAUAUGGUAUUGCUCUAUUGCAUAAUCACUUGCUCUAUCCAGCUUAAUCUCUAGUCAUGAAGGGCUAAAUGUUAUAGGUUUAACGAAACAAUUGCGUUUACUUGCCGAUGUUAUUAUACCGUUCAUACUAAAUGUCAGAAAACCCUUCAUACCUAUAUUCAUAUUUGUAUUUUACUAAUAUUAAUGUAGGAUUCUGAACAUUUAAUAGUAAGAUUAUUACAUCAAUGAGAUUGCCUUUUAAUAAAAAGAAAAUUCUUGGACAGAAAAACGGAAAAAGAAGACAUUACGUGAAUGAGGUUGUGCAUAACCCACAUGCCUAAAAUAUUGUUUCUAAGAAAAAUAGUUUCAGUCAAAAUUGACGUUGCUCUAUAAUAACCAUCUCUAGUGCUCGUGUUGUCUACAAUCUCUCUAAUUUAGGUGGGUAUGUGAAUCCCAUAUCUAUUAGAGAGAUCGUAAUGAAGAUGGUCGGUUGAGCUGGGAAAGAAAUAGGACUUCUUACUAUGUUAGAGAGUAGGUGGAUAAUGUGUGGGGAGAGUUCGAUUUUGGGCUUACUUAAAGCAAUUGGAGGUCAAUUUUUGCAUUAAAGUUUUUAAGGAGAAGUUUCCUUUGUGUUUGAAGAUUGGCAGGGAUCUUGUUCGACUUCUACAAGAUUUGGUUCAUUUACCCAAGUUUAGAGCAAUAUGGAAGGAUUUGGUAUUUAAUCGCGGCGAAUUUAAAGCUCAGGGAUUUUCAGGUAUUCCACAACUCUAUAACAUAAGGACUCCAAGCGAUUAUAUGUUACUUCGGAUUACUCCAAAAUGGAGGCCCAUUUACGAUUUUUGCUCACUCAUGUGAAGUUGGGAAACCAGAAGCGUCAUCAGGCAUGGUUUUCCUAGAAGUAUCUAUUUGAACCAAACAGAGAGACUCUCAUAAUUGACCUUGUUCGCUUUAUAUGUUGUCCUUACCACCCAACGAAUGAAAUCAUUCAGUCAGAUGUCAUUCCAAGAUGGGCUGUUAUGGGUUGGCAUUUCAAAUCUUGCACUAAGAAUUAUGUUGAAGCAAAUGUGAAACUAGCUCUACUUUAUGAUUGGCUCUUUUUCGAGGAAAGAGUAGACAAUAUUAUGGAUAUUGAACCUGCAAUGUUAUUAAUGGUCUAUUCUAUACCCAGAUACAUUGAUGUAACUCACACUAUUCUUGAAUUUUUCUUCCUUCUUAUGGACAACUAUGAUGUGGAACAUUACGAUAUCUUAGCUAAAGGUGUGUCAUCUUCUUUUAGUGUACUGGUUAAGAGAGGAGUGAUUCGUUCAUUUGAUGUCUUGACCUCUUGUGAUGCACUGUCUCCUAUAUUGAAAGAGAGGCUUGGUAGGUUUUUGUCACGUAGGAAAUUUGAAAUCUCUAAGGAGGUUCAACAAGCUUGUCGUCCUGGUGAUUUUGUGAGUUUGAACUCUUCAUGUAUGGAAACUCCAUUACCAUUAACAGAAUGGCAACCUAAAUGUAGCCAAGGAGACAGAUUUGGAACCAAAUUAGCUGAAACUAAAGUUAUGAUAUCAGAUGAUGCAGCUCCUUCCCAUAGUCCAUUAGUAGUGGCCAGGGAAGGUCAAGUUCAUGAUAUAGACAAUUUGAUUCAUAAUCUUGGAGAAGCAAUUAAAAAUUCAAAUCCAAUGGCUCUUCAUACUUUGGAAGAACUGUUACUUUUAUUUGUGAGUUUUGAUGGCCAAGGACCAAAGAGUGGCUUCAUUCUCCCUGAUGUUUUAUCUUCUAUAAUGAGAAUGUUGUAUGAAUUGAGUGGGUCCAAAUUAUUUUCUCCUCUCAUCCAGAUAGUCCUGAAAACGGUGAUGAAGUUGGGUCUGCCACAUCCUUAAUUAUCCGUAUGUUUGUUCUUUCUAAGCAUCAAAAUAUGCAAGCUAUGCUUCUAUUCUGGUUAAAGAAUGGUUUUCCAGUUGGAGCAAGGUUAUUAUCGUAUGCAUCAAGACUAGCUUAUGAGGCACACAUGGUGGGUUUUUUUGGAGGUGCCAUGGUUGACGUUAAUGCUAUUACUCCAAGUGAAUCAGGCAUCCAUCUGCUGCUAUAUCAUGUCAAUGGGUACUUUUCUUUUUUGCAUGGCAGAACUGAAAACUCAUAUGAAACCAUUGAAUCUAUUUCUAAAGCAGAAAAGAAGUUAGUUGCAAUGUUAGUCGAUGGUGCCUUUGCUGCCUACAAAUGCUUCCUUAUGUAUUCAAGAACUGCCUUAUUCAAGGAUGCUGAAAAUUCUCUGCCACGGCUCCUUUUUUCUGACAUAAUGACUUGUUCUGUGUGGGAGAGGAAGCGAUUAAAAUUCUUGUUUUCCAGUGUCUAUUCUCAUCUUUCUGAUAUGUCCAUUGGUGAGGAUGGCAUCAUCAAGCUACUUGUUGGUCAAUUAGAUCAUGCUGAUCUUGUUAAUAUACAGAUUGAGAUUGGCUUGAAAUGAUUUUCCAUUUUUGGUGAGAAUACUGAAACAGUUUUCCGCUUAAUGAAGAAUUCCUUUAAUUGGGAUUGUGUUGAACAACAUAAAUUCUGGGGCUUGAUUAGAUCAGAGCUAGCCGUUUCCACGGUGCAAGUGCAGGAACUACUUUCAAAGUUUUUCUGGUUGGAGAAAUUAGAUGCAAAUGCGAGUGCCAUUGCGGUUGAAGGUCUUCUUACACUCUGUAGUUGCUGUCCACCCAUGCCUAAGCUUGUUGGGGCUGUCAUGUUAUUACCUAACAGUGUCUUUCAGGAUUUUGCUUCUGCUGUUAUGGCUAAAUGGGCUGUAUCUAAUGGCUUCAUGCUAUUUGAAAGCUUGGCUGAGUUUUCAGAAAAAGUUGAGGGCAAAAAUGGGGAUCUCGUCAUUCAUGAUUCAGCAGGAAUGAUAAACCGCUCUGCCAUUUUGUGGUUAUUGAAGUAUUUUAAUGGGAGUGACACUGAUGGGUUAUGUAAUGCGUUUCAUUGGAAGGUCUUUCUUUUGAAAGUGGACAUGCAAUCUGAAGAUGAAAAGGUUGUAUUCAGAAUGUUUUGAUGGGGGAAUCCUUGCCAACUGCAAUAUUUUAGUAUCCAAGAGAUAUAUUCUAAUUGUUUGCAUACUCUGGUGGUUUCACAAAAGGUUGCCUUGCUAUCUUGACAAGGGCCACAAUGGUGCUGCUUGUGCUCUCUUCUCUUGACCUGUGAAAUGGAAACCCAACCAAUCUUAGUAGAAAAAUUCUCACCAAGAUUACUCGAAACUCCAAAAAAGACAAAUGUUGCUCACAGAAAAUUCACUCGAAUGCAGGGUUUGAGCUAAAAGUCAUGCAACAUAAGGAUCUUAUUUUUCCAUACUGGUAAGUUAGAUAUGGACGACUUAAGUACAUCUCACUCAUUGGCUAUUAUGCGUCUCGUUUUUUCGUUAUUUAGCUAUUGAUGUUGGUGAUUAUUUCAUGUUGACCCAAUAGAGUGGGAAGCGUAGUUUGUUUCUUUCUUCAUUGGUACUUCACCCAUAUAUCUGAUAGUGCUGCAGGCAUCAAGGGAUGAUCUUACGAUGAUGGAAUUGAAUCCUUUCCCUACGUAUAACUUCUUAUGCAAGCUUUUACUGUGAGCCCUAGCAUUUUCUUCAAGAUUGUUCCCUAGCAUUUUCUUUAAAAUUAGCAAGCUGCAUAUAAUAGUCAUCCUUUGUAUUGUUACUGCGAUAAAACAAAGCCAUUGAUCACCAGGCAUUCAGUAUAGGCCCAGUAUUAGAAAUUGAACGUAGGUGGUGAGCUUAUACCCGAUUGAGUAGCUGAUAGAGUAGGUGUUGUCUCGGUGGGAUGUAAAUGUAUCAAACGGGCGAGCCGGCCCGAAUGGCACGAACACCGGCCAUUUAAAUAGGGCAUGGUCAGUGGUGGAGCCAAGAUUUUAUCCCACUGGGAGGCAUGAUAAAAAUGUUUCAUAUAUUGAUUAUUGGGUAGCUGUACAUUCAUGUAUCAUCGUCCAUAUAUCCAGUUUUCUACAAAAAAAUCUAAGGCCAAAGUUUGAUUUAAAUGUACGAUAGGAAUGAAGGCUAAUUGUGUUCCAUAAAUCUGUCUCACUAUUUUAUAGGAAUUAAACUGAUGACGACUUGUAGUUGCUACUCUUUCCGCUAUCAUGCACAGUUGGAUCAUUGGAGAUUGACUCUUCUCCAGAGUGUCUCUUUGUUCUACAUGUUCUUUAUGGCUAGAUGCGGUGGGUUCAAUGACGGCACAGCUUCAAUUCGUGAUGAUAAUUAGGAUUUUGGGUUAUGGAUUCAUCUAGGGUUUUGGUUGUUUUGGGCUGUGGACUUGGAUAUGGGUUAUGUUAGAUUUGCGUGUUAUAUUAAAAUUCGUAUCUUGUACAUGUCUUUGAUGUAUUGUUAAAGUUGUUUUUUUUAUCGGUGGCGCAACGUUUAAUUUGAAAUCAUUCUUUUUUAUCUUGUUUUAUUGAAAGAACGUA
Non-coding RNA from Malus domestica (apple), 4743 nucleotides. The record is from RefSeq and is a predicted model, not a curated record. Lineage: Eukaryota; Viridiplantae; Streptophyta; Magnoliopsida; Rosales; Rosaceae.